ACGGGAGACACACGGCGGGUGCUAACGUCCGUCGUGAAGAGGGAAACAACCCAGACCGCCAGCUAAGGUCCCAAAGUCAUGGUUAAGUGGGAAACGAUGUGGGAAGGCCCAGACAGCCAGGAUGUUGGCUUAGAAGCAGCCAUCAUUUAAAGAAAGCGUAAUAGCUCACUGGUCGAGUCGGCCUGCGCGGAAGAUGUAACGGGGCUAAACCAUGCACCGAAGCUGCGGCAGCGACGCUUAUGCGUUGUUGGGUAGGGGAGCGUUCUGUAAGCCUGUGAAGGUGUACUGUGAGGUAUGCUGGAGGUAUCAGAAGUGCGAAUGCUGACAUAAGUAACGAUAAAGCGGGUGAAAAGCCCGCUCGCCGGAAGACCAAGGGUUCCUGUCCAACGUUAAUCGGGGCAGGGUGAGUCGACCCCUAAGGCGAGGCCGAAAGGCGUAGUCGAUGGGAAACAGGUUAAUAUUCCUGUACUUGGUGUUACUGCGAAGGGGGGACGGAGAAGGCUAUGUUGGCCGGGCGACGGUUGUCCCGGUUUAAGCGUGUAGGCUGGUUUUCCAGGCAAAUCCGGAAAAUCAAGGCUGAGGCGUGAUGACGAGGCACUACGGUGCUGAAGCAACAAAUGCCCUGCUUCCAGGAAAAGCCUCUAAGCAUCAGGUAACAUCAAAUCGUACCCCAAACCGACACAGGUGGUCAGGUAGAGAAUACCAAGGCGCUUGAGAGAACUCGGGUGAAGGAACUAGGCAAAAUGGUGCCGUAACUUCGGGAGAAGGCACGCUGAUAUGUAGGUGAAGUCCCUCGCGGAUGGAGCUGAAAUCAGUCGAAGAUACCAGCUGGCUGCAACUGUUUAUUAAAAACACAGCACUGUGCAAACACGAAAGUGGACGUAUACGGUGUGACGCCUGCCCGGUGCCGGAAGGUUAAUUGAUGGGGUCAGCGCAAGCGAAGCUCUUGAUCGAAGCCCCGGUAAACGGCGGCCGUAACUAUAACGGUCCUAAGGUAGCGAAAUUCCUUGUCGGGUAAGUUCCGACCUGCACGAAUGGCGUAAUGAUGGCCAGGCUGUCUCCACCCGAGACUCAGUGAAAUUGAACUCGCUGUGAAGAUGCAGUGUACCCGCGGCAAGACGGAAAGACCCCGUGAACCUUUACUAUAGCUUGACACUGAACAUUGAGCCUUGAUGUGUAGGAUAGGUGGGAGGCUUUGAAGUGUGGACGCCAGUCUGCAUGGAGCCGACCUUGAAAUACCACCCUUUAAUGUUUGAUGUUCUAACGUGGACCCGUAAUCCGGGUUGCGGACAGUGUCUGGUGGGUAGUUUGACUGGGGCGGUCUCCUCCUAAAGAGUAACGGAGGAGCACGAAGGUUGGCUAAUCCUGGUCGGACAUCAGGAGGUUAGUGCAAUGGCAUAAGCCAGCUUGACUGCGAGCGUGACGGCGCGAGCAGGUGCGAAAGCAGGUCAUAGUGAUCCGGUGGUUCUGAAUGGAAGGGCCAUCGCUCAACGGAUAAAAGGUACUCCGGGGAUAACAGGCUGAUACCGCCCAAGAGUUCAUAUCGACGGCGGUGUUUGGCACCUCGAUGUCGGCUCAUCACAUCCUGGGGCUGAAGUAGGUCCCAAGGGUAUGGCUGUUCGCCAUUUAAAGUGGUACGCGAGCUGGGUUUAGAACGUCGUGAGACAGUUCGGUCCCUA
This 1679-nucleotide ribosomal RNA is filed under the name Escherichia coli. Its description in RNAcentral is "partial 23S ribosomal RNA". It matches the Rfam family "Bacterial large subunit ribosomal RNA", at positions 977 to 2640 of the family's 2925-position model. Lineage: Bacteria; Pseudomonadati; Pseudomonadota; Gammaproteobacteria; Enterobacterales; Enterobacteriaceae. The record is from RNAcentral.